AGACGCUACGGACUUAAUUUUUGAGCCUUAGUAGAAAAAUCUACUAAGUUACUGUUUUCACAUUCAGGGAAACCUAAGGUUUAAAACAUGAGGUAAUCCUGAGCCAAAUUUCAAUUAUGAAAUAGGUGCAGAGACUCAAAGGAAACUAUCCGAACGAAAAACUGAACACUAAUAUAAAAUAUUAAUAUUAGUUUUUAAAUAACUUUUAAUAGACGAGGAUAAAGAUAGAGUCCUUUUUUACAAUCUAUAUAAUUUUUCCUUAUAGAUAAUUGUAAAAAGAAAAUCCGUUGGCUUUAAUAGACCUUGAGGGUUCAAGUCCCUCUACCCCCA
Molecule: transfer RNA, 330 nt
Filed under: Harpalejeunea grandistipula
Lineage: Eukaryota; Viridiplantae; Streptophyta; Jungermanniopsida; Porellales; Lejeuneaceae
Description: partial tRNA-Leu
Rfam family: Group I catalytic intron (bases 6-251)
About the family: Group I catalytic introns are large self-splicing ribozymes. They catalyse their own excision from mRNA, tRNA and rRNA precursors in a wide range of organisms. The core secondary structure consists of 9 paired regions (P1-P9).
Source: RNAcentral